UUAAAAACGAUAAGUGAAAAAAAGAAAAAAAAUAUACAAAAUUUUCCAGCAUCCGAUCGAACCAAACAGUUUUAGCUGGAGCUCAUUCACCGUUUCUGCUGGACCAGACACCGGAAACCUCGGAACCUGGAACAUUGGGCAGGCAUGCAGGCACGAACGGGUACGUGCUCCUGGAGGGCGCAUGCCGGAAUACAGCCUGCCUUUCAGAGCCGCAGGAAUCUAGAUCCGAUCCUGAACGGAUAUUCUCAUCCGCAUAUUUGUUCCAUGAAAGAUCGAUGGGCGGAAGAGAUUCAUCAAAACUCAAACUCCAACUCCAUAGGGCCGACAUUCCUUCAAUCCCGCAUGGACGGCCAUCAAUAGGUCCUUCCAGAGUUGGCCUUUACCACAAGCAGCAUCGCCGCUUUCAUUAUUGGAGCUUGAGGAGACAAUGGUUGGUUUGGUGGCUUUACCCCGUUAAAUAAUA
Long non-coding RNA from Uranotaenia lowii, 463 nucleotides. RefSeq lists it as uncharacterized. The record is from RefSeq and is a predicted model, not a curated record. Lineage: Eukaryota; Metazoa; Arthropoda; Insecta; Diptera; Culicidae. The transcript has 3 exons.